RNAcentral lists this ribosomal RNA (1928 nucleotides) under Polymastigidae sp. NmTmF. RNAcentral's name for it is "SSU rRNA". It matches the Rfam family "Eukaryotic small subunit ribosomal RNA". The record is from RNAcentral. Lineage: Eukaryota; Preaxostyla; Oxymonadida; Polymastigidae.
UCAAAGAUUAAGCCAUGCAUGUGUAGGUAUAAACAACUUGUAUUUGUGAAACUGCGAAUGGCUCAUUAAAUCAGUUAUAAUUUAUUUGAUAAUGACAUUUACUAUAUGGAUAGCCGUAGUAAUUCUAGAGCUAAUACAUGCGUAAAGGUCAGACCGUAAGGAAUGACUGUAUUUAUUAGAUCGAAGACCAAUAACACUUGCUGUCAAAGGUAAGUGAAAAUAGGUGAAUCAUGAUAAGUUUGUCGAAUCGAGGAAUUAUUUUCUCGAUGUGUCAUUGAAAUUUCUGCCCUAUCAACUUGAUGGUAGGAUAGAGGCCUACGAUGGUAUUGACGGGUAACGGGGAAUUAGGGUUCGAUUCCGGAGAGGGAGCCUGAGAAACGGCUACCACUUCUAAGGAAGGCAGCAGGCGCGCAAAUUACCCAAUCCCAAUAACGUUGGGGAGGUAGUGACAAAAAAUAUUAAUUCGUUUCUCUUCGGAGGGAUGAAAUUGAAAUGGUGUGGAUAUAUCACGUCCACAGAGAAACAAUUAGAGGGCAAGUCUGGUGCCAGCAGCCGCGGUAAUUCCAGCUCUAAUAGUGUAUACUAAAAUUGCUGCAGUUAAAAAGCUCGUAGUUGGAUUUGUGAUACUACUUAACUUAUUUGGUUUGGGGCAGAUGGUACUAAGUCUGUUCCUUAUGAUCAGUGGGUUGGUAGAAUCAUAUGAAAUUUUCGAAGGGGUAUAUUGCAUUUAACUAUGCCAAUAUGCCUUGUCGGAGAGUUUACUUUGAAGAAAAUGGAGUGUUCAAAGCAGGUAAAUAAUUGCAACUGAACACAUUAGCAUGGAAUAAUAAAAUAGGACACUGUGGAGCAUUUUUAUAUUGGAAGUGUUCCCUUUGCUUUAUUUCUCUUUCGGGGGGGAUGAAGUGAUGUCACUGUUUUGUUGGUCAACAGUGUGUGUGUAAUGAUUAAUAGGGACAGUUGGGGAUAUUGGUAUUGCAUCGUCAGAGGUGAAAUUCUUAGAUUGAUGCAAGACGAACGAGUGCGAAAGCAUCUAUCAAGGAUGUUUUCAUUAAUCAAGAACGAAAGUUAGGGGAUCGAAGGCGAUCAGAAACCGCCCUAGUCUUAACUAUAAACUAUACCAACUAGGAAUUGUCGGGUAUAAGGCACACCUAAGGGUGUGUUUUUAAAGUUACAUUUACGUGCUCUUGAAUGAGGACGUAAAUUGCCUCGCCAGCACCUGUUGAGAAAUCAUAAGUCUUUGGGUUCUGGGGGGAGUAUGGUCACAAGGCUGAAACUUAAAGAAAUUGACGGAAGGGCACCACCAGGUGUGGAGCCUGCGGCUUAAUUUGACUCAACACGGGGAAACUUACCAGGUCCAGACAGCGGAAGGAUUGACAGAUUGAGAGUUUUUUCUUGAUUCGGUGGGUGGUGGUGCAUGGUCGUUCUUAGUUGGUGGAGCGAUUUGUCUGCUUAAUUGCGAUAACGAGCGAGACCUCAACCUGCUAACUAAGCUUUCCGGUAGUUAUCGCUACUGGUUUAUUAAGCUUCUUAGAGGGACAACCACUUUUGAAGUGGGGGAAGCAUGAGGCAAUAACAGGUCUGUGAUGCCCUUAGAUGUCCUGGGCCGCACGCGCGCUACACUGAUUAAAUCAACAAGUAUAGAUAUAAGGAAACCCUUCGGGGUAGACUUUUCUCCUUGUCCGAAAGGAUCGGGUAAUCUUUUGAAUUUUAAUCGUGCUGGGGAUUGAUUUUUGUAAUUAUGGAUCAUGAACUAGGAAUACCUAGUAAGUGCAAAUCAUCAGUUUGCGCUGAUUACGUCCCUGCCCUUUGUACACACCGCCCGUCGCUCCUACCGAUUGAAUGAUCAGAUGAAAUGUUUGGAUUGUGACAAGGGAGGGGUAAAAACCUUCUCGUUGAUGCAAGAAGAACAGUAAAUCUUAUUAUUUAGA